AGUGAACGCUGGCGGUAGGCCUAACACAUGCAAGUCGAACGGCGGCCCAGUAAGAGCUUGCUCUUACGGGUGGCGAGUGGAGGACGGGUGAGGCAUACGUCGGACUCUAGUUUUUCGUGGGGGAUAACGUAGGGUAACUUAGGCUAAUACCUCAUACUACCUACGGGUGAAAGCAGGGGAUCUUCGGACCUUGCGCGAUUGAAUGACUCUAUGUCGGAUUAGCUAGUGUGCGGGGUGAAGGCCCACCAAGGCGACGAUCCGUAGCUGGUCAGAGAGCAAGAUCAGCCACACUGGAUCUGAGACACGGUCCAGACUCCUACAGUGGGCAGCAGUGGGGAAUAUUGGACAAUGCACGCGAGCCGGAUCCAGCCAUACCGCGUGAGUGAAGAAGGCCUUCGGGUGGGAAAGCCCUUUUGUUGGUAAAGAAAAGCAGCACUAUAAUACCCCGCUGUUCUGACGGUACCCAAAGAAGAAGCACCGGCUAACUUCGUG
Molecule: ribosomal RNA, 492 nt
Filed under: uncultured bacterium
Lineage: Bacteria
Description: partial 16S ribosomal RNA
Rfam family: Bacterial small subunit ribosomal RNA
Source: RNAcentral